This 31-nucleotide non-coding RNA is filed under the name Rattus norvegicus (Norway rat). The record is from RNAcentral. Lineage: Eukaryota; Metazoa; Chordata; Mammalia; Rodentia; Muridae.
GUGCACACAUGUCGCAAGAAGCCUAGGCAUC